RNAcentral lists this ribosomal RNA (374 nucleotides) under uncultured eukaryote. RNAcentral describes it as "partial 18S ribosomal RNA". It matches the Rfam family "Eukaryotic small subunit ribosomal RNA", at positions 592 to 976 of the family's 1831-position model. The record is from RNAcentral.
UAAUAGCGUAUACUUAAGUUGUUGCAGUUAAAAAGCUCGUAGUCGGAUGUCGGGCUUGGGCAGGCUGUCGGCUUUUGUCGGACGGCAGGCUCGGGCCUUUCUGCCUGGGGACCGCGUCACACUUCACUGUGGGGCGUCGGGACGCAGGCCGUUUACUUUGAAAAAAUUAGAGUGUUCAAAGCAGGCCUAUGCUUGAAUACAUUAGCAUGGAAUAAUGGAAUAGGACUUUGGUGCCAUUCUGUUGGUUUAUGGAACCGAAGUAAUGAUUAAUAGGGACAGUUGGGGCCGUUUAUAUUUCGUUGUCAGAGGUGAAAUUCUUGGAUUUACGAAAGAGAAACUUCUGCGAAAGCAUUCGGCAAGGAUGUUUUCAUUGA